CGGGCACGUCACUUCACUACUCAGCUUCGGCUUCCCCCUCUGUAAAAGGGGUGGUAAUAAGGUAACCCUAAAUGACCUACGUCACAGGGGUUGUGUGGAUUAAUUAGUUGGUACGUGUAAACGCCCUCUGAAGCGGUGUUCUUCCCAGCCGUGUGGGCAGCACUCCAGGUUCAUGGAAACCAGCAGAGGCAGAGCAUGCCGGCUGCACCUGACUGCAGCGUGUCUAACUGCUUCUCCACCUUCAGUGGGGUAAAACGGGGGAGGCAGGCAUACGAUGACAUGCCAAAAAUGCUGCUUCUGCGUGCUUUUGACUGAAAAUCCCUGCAAGCAGCAGGGAGAUGACUGUCACAGUGCCCCUGCUGCCACCACAGGCAAAUGCUUUGCCACCCACUGAAAGAGGCUGGUUACUGCAGCUGAGCCAUUACAUAACAAUGGCAGCUUUCCAGUAGGCAUAGACACAGAACAUGCCACAUCUGUCAUCAGUUAAUGCCAGGAUAGGGGGGCACAGAUCAGCAUUCAUGUCUCACUCCCCGUCGGUAUCCGGCCUGAGCCGAGGAACCCAAUGAUCCAAGCAGCGGACCCAAUUCGGUGAUAAACCCUACUCAUAUGCCACCUGAGGCACAUUGCACAUACUCUAAGAAGAAGAAUGCCAGGUCACUCAUACCUUGCCCUCCUGACCUCAGACACUGCCUCCUGAGCAAAGUGAGGGAUGACUGCUCAUCAGUUCAGAGGAACUUGCCUGUACUGUGAAUAUCAUUAACAUCAAGGACACAUUAAGGACUAUUUGUAAUCGUUUGUCACCAAGGUAAACAGAGAAGCAGAUUUGUGAAUGAAGCUGAUUGGACCGAAAUAUGGGGUGCAGCAAGAAUAGAGACAUUUUUGAGAUGUUACUAGAGGACAGGGAACAGAAUUCUAGGAUGACCUUAACUCUCAGCGAUAAUAGAGUAGAACAAGCCCAUAGUAUUUAUAUGGACUUGUUUAACAUUCCAUGCUGUUUGUAGGUGUAUACGUGGGGUGUCUGUGUUCUCUCUAUAAGAGGAUUUCUGGGCUGUCUGUCCCUUAGGCAGCACCAAUAUUAAGGAGAUAAAAGAUUUUAUAAAUGAAGGCUGUAAUUGUUCGGAUGUGCUGGGAACUAUUUCUAAACAUGCACAUUGGUGACUGAUUUAUACAUGUUGUCUGUGCACUGGAAGAGGAAAGAAAGAUUUGCUGGUACUUAGCAUAACUGUUGCAGGAAGAAAAAAGCAGUGGAGAAAGGUGUGGCAGUGUGUUGUGUUAUCUGUCUGUGCUUAGUAAUGCAUAGCCUCCUUCCUGCAAAGAUAUAGGUCAGACAAACUAUGCACAUAAUUAUAAUUUUUCCUGGUCACUCCAACAACUUAAAAAAUCUGGAUCUGAACACACUGGCAUCACUGAAGUAGUUUGGAUCUGUAGCUAAGACAGUAUCACAGGUCAUUUUCUCUAUAACAAACCAAACACCUGCAUCAGAACCCCCUUGAAUUUUCAGCAUGGCCCAUCUGUAUCCUGAACCAGAUGUGUCUCAUGAUGUGGAGAUGGCAUAACUGUCUCUGUAAAUUCAUCUGGAAUACACAUUAAAGGAACCUAAAUGGAGUAUGUAGUAUUCAUGGUGGGUUUGUGUGUAAUCAAAAUUAUAUGCAGUUUUGCUCACCAUAUUCCUUAGAUGUGAAACUAUCAUUUGUAGUAUUGAGAUGCCCAUGCAGAUGUAGCUAAAAUCCUGCAGUCAUGUUUCCUAAUACGAGAAUAAUCUAACUACCAACUACAGGAGAAGAGAUCCAUAACUAAGUAGAAAUUACAACCAAUUGAAACGGGGAAAACUAAAAAAUAAACCUAAUACACAGUUUCCUUAAGAAGAGGACUCAUGGUUAACAAGUGUCACCCAUGAUGCCCCCCCACACUUUAUGUAAUGGAGUUUUAAAAUAGUUUGGCCAUAACUAUAUUAGCAGCUUUUUGAGUGGAACCCAAGAUGGAACAAUCCCUGUCCCAAGGAUUGUAGUGCAUCUGCAAUUGGUACUGAUGUGCCAUCUACAGAGCAAAAGUCCCCACAUGAAUUCUCACCUAAUGCCAAAAUGGAGAACAGAUGUUUCAUUUUACAAGUAUUGAGGAAAGAUGGCAUCAGGUGCCUCGGGUCCCCAGAUAUCAAAGUCAUCGUUUGAUUUAAGAAUGUAACAAUGAGCAACCAACUGGUAAGAAACAGCUAAGGACCAAUAUCUAAUUGAGACCAGCUGGUGUCCAGGGUUUCUACGCAUGAAUUCAAUUAGUCUCUGCGUCAGUAAUUCUCUGUUCCCACCCUGUCAUGGUUUUGGAAUAAAUACUGUACUAUUGCCAUGGAGCUCCAGGUGCUGAGUGUGUGUCCCGUAGUUAUACAGUCCUUGUCUAGUGAUGUCUUUGUCUUUUUCUUUCUCUCUUUUUAAACUCUGCUUUUAGAUUCUGUUCUCUGGCUUUUCAUGCUUGGAGGUUACCCGUAUAAUUGUGAGCCAGUGAGAACACAAUAAAAGUCAUCAUAAAUUCAGGAUCACAUGGCAUCUAGGUCUGAUGUUCCUUCUUUUACCAUUAUUAAGACGAUAAUAAGCAUGUUUACAUUUUUAUAAUAAUUUUGCACUAUGCAUAGACAGCCUAAUUCUCUGUUGUGCUUAAGCCCCUUUAUGUUGAUUUGGUAGAAUAAAGGAUCCUUAAACCAGAAGGCAGCAAUCACUUCCAGGGACUGCCCCCGGUGUGAGAAGAUUCCCUGGCCAGCUAGAGGUGUCAGAAAGACUUACACCAAGCUCCUCUCUGGUCCCCAGUGCAGGGUGUGUGUCAGAGGGGAAGGGCUGUGCCUUUAAGGGAUCAUUGUUGGACCAAAUAUAAGUUUGAGCUGCUGAACAGCCAUCAAUCCUUCUUAAGUCAAUGGGAACUUCGAGCGCUUCGUACAUCUGCAAAUCAGGCCACUGCAUUAGAAGGAAGAUUUUCAAAGGCACACAUGGAAGUGAAGCACCCAGCUUCCAUAGACUUUUACUGGGAGCUGGACAACUAACUGCGCUUCCUACCUUUGAAAAUCUCCCUCUGGAACCAAAAUACGUAUUUAGGAGUCCUUUGAACAGUUUGCCUUAAAUAUUUGAGACUACAUUUCUAACCUAGGCAAAAUGCAUUCUAAUUUCUGCAAUGCUGAAUACUGGCUCCUCUUACUCACAGUGCCAAACUUCACUGAUAGUAUUGCAUCUGAAACCACCAACUUACAAUUAUGUAACAGUAGCAUGGUUUUAAAAGAUGCUGUCCUUGUAAUAGGACACAUGAGGGUGGAAAUUACCAUUUGUCUGACCGCUACCAAACUUUAGAGCUGACAAACAGCUGUUUUCUUGUCUAAGGAAGUUCGUUCAUGCAGAAUUCAGAAAAUUAGCUACUAUGAUCAUUCAAAUCUAAUCGUUGAGCUUUUUAGCCCUUUUUAAAAUAUAUAUAUUUAAAGGUGUGGUUCAGUACCCCAUGCUGUGUUUACCAAGCUGUGUAUUUACACUUAUUUACUACUUUUCAGAAUUCAAAGUGAUUAGGGAAAAAUGGAAGAAUUCAUGCUGCAGGACAGGUCUGAACAAAGAAGAGCAGAACAUGCAGGGAGACGCUCAUUUACUGCUUGCUGCUGCCGUUUCUGGAAAGUACAUGUUCCAGUUGCAGUUUCCUAUGGAACGUCUUUACCAAUGAAGAGACCAUCAGGAUCUAACUGCUGUAUCUGGAAACCCUUGGGGGAGAGAAGCACAUUUCUAGCUUGUUAUUCUGCCUGGAUGAGAUUGGAAGCUCAUUACCGAAUUAGAAGAUUAUAAACCUAACAACACACAGCUAAAUUUCAGGUUUCCAAAGUCAUUCUUCAUAACUCCCCUCUCCCCCCCCCCCCACCCAAUAGACUGCAGCCCCUUUGUCAGAUAAACUUUCUAAAGAACAGCACUGAAGAGGAAGGCAGGAGGGAAAGAGCAGCAGAGUGGAGUGAUUAGAAAAUGGAACAGGUUCUCAUUGGGGUGCAGAGCAUGUACGAAUUACUCGAGACAUUAUGGAUGACAGGCAUCAUUUCAUCCUGGAUCCCACCGUGACUGUAAACUUGCUCAUCUGCAUUUGCUACAGGCCUAGAAUAUUUUACAGUUAAAGUUAUCUUAAGCACCAUUAUUUCCUCCUUUUUCUCAAGAAGGCUCUGGAAUGGACACCUGAUCAAGAAGACCACUGUACCCAUUUUUCCUUCAUGAUGGAACUGCCUAUUAUCGCUGGCUUGAGGAAUUGGUGGUGGACUACAGCGCUGUACGUCACUAGUUCAACUGUGACGCCAUUCAGCAUGAAUAAAAAUUGGUGAAUGAUGAGAAUGGAAUGGAUCCGCUACCUAUAGCAUUUUUUUAAUACUACCCUAAUCAUUGUGGUACCCAAACUCCUAAUGACAAGAAUUGCAAAAACAACCCAAAAUGUGCUAUUAGAGGUUGGACUGCUUAGUGCCCUUAUCCAUUGAAUGAACUUAGAGACUCAGUUAUCCUCCUACCCGUAUGGACAUUUGCUCCAGGACAGGGUUUUGGAGUAGCAUGGGAGAAGCUGUUGUUGCUCUAUUUGUGGAAUGGGUGUGGCAUGGACAUCAGCACUUCCGUCUCCUGCAUUAAUUCGCUUAUUUUUUAAAGGAAUGUUAAAGAAUAUGUAUGUAUGUAUAUAAAUAUAAAUAAAAUAUUACCCAUUUCAAGUUACUUUGAGACAGAUUAGGAGUCAGCUGGCUGUAGCCAAAGUUGCGACUAGCAUUUUUGGGAAAAUACCUUAUUGAAUCAAAAGAGGUCAAGUGUAACAUGUGAAAUGCAUGGCUAGGGUGUGCAGAGAUGCAGUGCAGCAGGACUGUGGGGUUUUCUCUUUUAAACCAAGUUUCUGUUAUCCCUGAAGGGAGAACCAAAGUCAUUUAACUUCUUAACAUAAAAGAAGAGACAGAAGGAAAACUUCCUCCUUUGCCUCUUUCAGGUUGUGGCAUUUCUAGAAAGCUGCUGAAUCACAUCCUUAUGAUACAUCGUCAUGGAAAUGGGCCCCCUCAGAUUUCACUCAUGGAAGCAGCAUCCUAUUUACUUACAUUUCAUAGAUGGUUAAGUCCAGAAGAGACCUUUCUGAUCAUCUAAUAUGACCUCCUGCCAACACAGGCCAUAACUCCUGCUUUGGAGCAAAUUUAUUUUCACCAGUACUCCCUAUUAUAAUAUGAAACUAAAUUAUUUCUAAAUCUUCCUUUAGCGUGUGUGUGUGUAUAUAUAUAUAUAAAGCAUGCACACUUGCAUCUAACCUUCCCCCCUCCUCAUUAGAUUCAGACCUGGGUGUGAUGCAUAUGUUACUCCUGGGGGAAUUCUGUGUCAUUGCGUGUGCACAGAAUUUAUGUCCUCCCACAGAUUUCUUUAUUUCCCAACAGAAAAAUGAUUUCUGACAAGGAAGCAGAGGGAAGCCACAAGAGCGGUCACGCAGCCCCUCCCUGGCAGCGCAGGCAGGUUGCAGUCAGUUGAAAAUUAAAUCACCACCGGUUGGGGGCGGGGGGUUGGACAGUCAUACAUGAGAGAGAGAGAGAGAGACACUCUGUCCCUCACUCGCUAUUGCAGCAUGCUUGGCAUGGAAGGGUGGGGCUUUGGAGUGUUUCUGAGGAGGUAGGCAUGGGGCAGGCUCUGGCCCCUCAGGCAGAGCAGAAUGUAGCACCCUGCCUGAUUAGUGAGUUGUUCCCAUUGUCUUUGUGAAUUCCUCCAGGAGUAUAAAACAGGUGUAAAUGUUGUAAGGCUCCUUUACAUUGCCAGAGUGGUGUAAAGGACAAUAUGGCCUUAUAAAUGCUUAUGGUGCUUUAGUGAUUAGAACUGGUCUAAAUGUUUGGUCUGAAAAUUUUCCUAUCAAAAUGUGCUCCAUGAACUGUUUGCUACUGACCUUUAUGGAGAUGGUCAGUAGCCAAUAUAAAUUGUGAGUUUGAUUACCCAGCCCUCACUUGCUCUUCAGUUGCCGAUGAUGUAACACCAAGCAUAUGGCUGCAUAUAUGGUUGACUAAUAACUAGAAAUAAAAAGGGUCAAACCUAGCUACAUUACCA
Molecule: long non-coding RNA, 6047 nt
Organism: Malaclemys terrapin pileata
Lineage: Eukaryota; Metazoa; Chordata; Testudines; Emydidae
Exons: 3
Source: RefSeq, a predicted model, not a curated record